AUUGAACGCUGGCGGCAGGCCUAACACAUGCAAGUAGAACGAGUGGCGGACGGGUGCGUAAUGUCUGGGAAACUGCCCGAUGGAGGGGGAUACAUACUGGAAACGGUAGCCAAUACCGCAUACAAUCGGAUGGGCCCAGAUGGGAGUAGCUAGUAGGGGGGGUAACGGCUCACCGAGGCGACGAUCCCUAGCUGGUCUGAGAGGAUGACCAUCCACACUGGAACUGAGACACGGUCCAGACUCCUACGGGAGGCAGCAGUGGGGAAUAUUGCACAAUGGGCGCAAGCCUGAUGCAGCCAUGCCGCGUGUAUGAAGAAGGUCUUCGGAUUGUAAAGUACUUUCAGCUGGGAGGCGUUACCCGCAGAAGAAGCAUCGGCUAACUCCGUGCCAGCAGCCGCGGUAAUAC
This 406-nucleotide ribosomal RNA is filed under the name uncultured bacterium. Its description in RNAcentral is "partial 16S ribosomal RNA". It matches the Rfam family "Bacterial small subunit ribosomal RNA", at positions 30 to 526 of the family's 1533-position model. The record is from RNAcentral.